GAUGAACGCUGGCGGCGUGCCUAAUACAUGCAAGUAGAACGCUGAAGGAGGAGCUUGCUCUUCUGGAUGAGUUGCGAACGGGUGAGUAACGCGUAGGUAACCUGCCUGUUAGCGGGGGAUAACUCUUGGAAACGAUAGCUAAUACCGCAUGACAUCAGUUAUUGCAUGAUAACUGUUUAAAAGAGGCAACUGCUCCACUACCAGAUGGACCUGCGUUGUAUUAGCUAGUUGGUGAGGUAACGGCGCAACAAGGCGGCGAUACAUAGUCGACCUGGGAAGGGGAUCCGCCAAACUGGGACCGGGAAACGGCCCAGGACUCUUAGGGGAGCAGCAGUAGGGGAACUUCGGCAAUGGACGGAAGGCUGAACGGACAAAGCCGCGGGGGGGGAGAAGGGUUUCCGGUCGGAAAGCUCCGUUGUAAGGGAAGAAAGAGUGUGGGAGUGAAAUGUUCACGCUGUGACGGUACCUAACCAGAAAGCGACGGCUAACUACGUG
RNAcentral lists this ribosomal RNA (495 nucleotides) under uncultured bacterium. RNAcentral's name for it is "partial 16S ribosomal RNA". It matches the Rfam family "Bacterial small subunit ribosomal RNA", at positions 28 to 507 of the family's 1533-position model. The record is from RNAcentral.